This 445-nucleotide ribosomal RNA is filed under the name uncultured bacterium. Its description in RNAcentral is "bacterial SSU rRNA". It matches the Rfam family "Bacterial small subunit ribosomal RNA", at positions 330 to 792 of the family's 1533-position model. The record is from RNAcentral.
GCCAGACUCCUACGGGAGGCAGCAGUGGGGAAUAUUGCGCAAUGGGGGAAACCCUGACGCAGCAACGCCGCGUGAGUGAGGAAGUAUCUCGGUAUGUAAAGCUCUAUCAGCGGGGAAGAAGGAAGGCGGUACCCGACUAAGAAGCCCCGGCUAACUCCGUGCCAGCAGCCGCGGUAAUACGGAGGAUGCGAGCGUUAUCCGGAUUUAUUGGGUUUAAAGGGUGCGCAGGCGGUCUGUUAAGUCAGCGGUCAAGGCCGGGGGCCCCCCCCGGGCCCGCCGUUGAGACUGGCAGUCUCGAGUUGGAGAGAAGUAUGCGGAAUGCGCGGUGUAGCGGUGAAAUGCAUAGAUAUCGCGCAGAACUCCGAUUGCGAAGGCAGCAUGCCGGCUCCACACUGACGCUGAGGCACGAAAGCGUGGGUAUCGAACAGGAUUAGAUACCCUUGUA